RNAcentral lists this ribosomal RNA (468 nucleotides) under uncultured bacterium. RNAcentral's name for it is "partial 16S ribosomal RNA". It matches the Rfam family "Bacterial small subunit ribosomal RNA", at positions 28 to 507 of the family's 1533-position model. The record is from RNAcentral.
GACGAACGCUGGCGGCGUGCUUAACACAUGCAAGUCGAACGGUGAAGCUCCAGCUUGCUGGAGUGGAUCAGUGGCGAACGGGUGAGUAACACGUGAGCAACCUGCCCCUGACUCUGGAAUAAGCGCUGGAAACGGCGUCUAAUACUGGAUACGAGAAGGGUCCGCAUGGGCACUUUCUGGAAAGUUUUUCGGUUGGGGAUGGGCUCGCGGCCUAUCAGCUUGUUGGUGAGGUACUGGCUCACCAAGGCGACGACGGGUAGCCGGCCUGAGAGGGCGACCGGCCACACUGGGACUGAGACACGGCCCAGACUCCUACGGGAGGCAGCAGUGGGGAAUAUUGCACAAUGGGCGAAAGCCUGAUGCAGCGACGCCGCGUGAGGGAUGACGGCCUUCGGGUUGUAAACCUCUUUCAGCAGGGAAGAAGCGAAAGUGACGGUACCUGCAGAAGAAGCACCGGCUAACUACGUG